AAUUUGGUGUCUCCUUGGCUUCCCGGUGGGAAGCAGGAGGGGCAGCAUGCCACGCUUCGCUGCUGGCCUCGGGUUCUGGUCCUGUGUGUGCUCUUAUUCUGGAGAGAAAGCUUAAAACACACCCGAACCAGGACACCAGUGUUUGCUCCUAGUCAGGCUGCCGAUGGACGGUGCCGCUCUUGCCGUCGGACUCCUGCUCUGUUUAACAACGUGCCGAGGGACGUCUAGAAAGCCCUGGACAGAUGGGAGCUGGCUUGCUGCGUGGUGGAGGCUGCACCUUCCUUUCCCUCCGUGCAGCGGUGUUGAUGCUGUCCUCAGAGCCCAGGGAUUUUCAUCGUUUUCUUCUGAUGCCAGAUUGAAAAAGAGUCGUCAGGCUGUGAUGGUGGUGGGUUGUCCAAGACAGAGCAGCCCCUUUGGAGAGCAGCCCCUUGGCCCCCCCAAAACAACCUUUUCCUGCUUUCGGAUGGAUCGAAGCAUUGGCUGAAAACUUGGAUCGCUUCCGGGGUGAAGAACGGCAAGCUGACAAAUGACCCUUGAAUCUUUUAUUACGGAGCAGUGCUGUUUUAUCUUAUCCCCGCUGGUGCUGUAUUUCAGAAUAUAUAUCAAAGAGAUGAGGUCUCAGAGUUUUCUGCCUUAAAAGCUGUUCGCUCCCCUUCGGGGGGUGGCUGCUCCCAGGCCCCGCAGAGCCCUUUUUAGCCUGGCUGUGCUUGGGAUUUCCCAUUUACAGUGCCCUGGAUAGCACCUGUAAGGACCAGACCCCCAAAACCUCUGUCUGGGGCUAGAGUGAAAGAAAAGGG
This 797-nucleotide long non-coding RNA is filed under the name Apteryx rowi (Okarito brown kiwi). Its description in RNAcentral is "lncRNA (ENSARWG00000007522.1)". Lineage: Eukaryota; Metazoa; Chordata; Aves; Apterygiformes; Apterygidae. The record is from RNAcentral.